Molecule: ribosomal RNA, 253 nt
Filed under: uncultured bacterium
Lineage: Bacteria
Description: partial 16S ribosomal RNA
Rfam family: Bacterial small subunit ribosomal RNA
Source: RNAcentral
UACAGAGGUGGCAAGCGUUGUUCGGAAUUACUGGGCGUAAAGGGCGCGUAGGCGGUUCGUUAAGUCCUGUGUGAAAUCCCCCGGCUCAACUGGGGAACUGCACAGGAAACUAGCGGGCUUGAGUUCGGGAGAGGGAAGCGGAAUUCCGGGUGUAGCGGUGAAAUGCUUAGAUAUCCGGAGGAACACCGGUGGCGAAGGCGGCUUCCUGGACCGACACUGACGCUGGGGCGCGAAAGCUAGGGGAGCAAACGGG